This 517-nucleotide ribosomal RNA is filed under the name uncultured bacterium. RNAcentral describes it as "bacterial SSU rRNA". It matches the Rfam family "Bacterial small subunit ribosomal RNA", at positions 333 to 847 of the family's 1533-position model. The record is from RNAcentral.
AGACUCCUACGGGAGGCAGCAGUGAGGAAUAUUGGUCAAUGGGAGAGAUCCUGAACCAGCCAAGCCGCGUGAGGGAAGACGGCCCUAUGGGUUGUAAACCUCUUUUGUCGGAGAACAAAACCCGGGACGUGUCCCGGACUGCGUGUAUCCGAAGAAAAAGCAUCGGCUAACUCCGUGCCAGCAGCCGCGGUAAUACGGAGGAUGCGAGCGUUAUCCGGAUUUAUUGGGUUUAAAGGGUGCGUAGGCGGUCCGUUAAGUCAGCGGUAAAAUUGCGGGGCUCAACCCCGUCGAGCCGUUGAAACUGGCAGACUUGAGUUGGCGAGAAGUACGCGGAAUGCGCGGUGUAGCGGUGAAAUGCAUAGAUAUCGCGCAGAACUCCGAUUGCGAAGGCAGCGUACCGGCGCCAGACUGACGCUGAGGCACGAAAGCGUGGGGAUCGAACAGGAUUAGAUACCCUGGUAGUCCACGCAGUAAACGAUGAAUGCUGGUUGUCCGGGUCGAAUGAGACCUGGGCGGC